AUGGAGGAACUGGAACGGCGUUGGCGGUGUCCUGGGGAGGUGGUGUCGUUCAUCAUCGCUGCUGCAGCCUCCUCACCGUUGCCUCCGCUCGAGCUUCAUCUCCGCGUGAGCUAUGCAGAGCCGGAGUAUGCGAGGUGGAUGCUUUCCCGCUCUCCAAGCUCCGUCGUCCAUCGUCCACCAGGGGCAGCCACAGCUGGCGAGCACCUCGCCUCCGCGGGCAUAGCUCUCUCCUCCAAGAUGUUAGCCAUGCCUUGCCUCGCUGGGGAAAAGAGGAAGAGGGACGGUGGCUGACGCUUGGUUC
This 301-nucleotide long non-coding RNA is filed under the name Oryza sativa Indica Group (long-grained rice). RNAcentral describes it as "lncRNA OsMH63_05G005850". The record is from RNAcentral. Lineage: Eukaryota; Viridiplantae; Streptophyta; Magnoliopsida; Poales; Poaceae.